RNAcentral lists this ribosomal RNA (665 nucleotides) under uncultured bacterium. Its description in RNAcentral is "bacterial SSU rRNA". It matches the Rfam family "Bacterial small subunit ribosomal RNA", at positions 121 to 769 of the family's 1533-position model. The record is from RNAcentral.
GCAACCUGCCCGGAAGAGGGGGAUAGCCCGGGGAAACCCGGAUUAAUACCGCGUGUGCCCCUGCGGGGAAACCCGUGGAGGGUGAAGGUGGCCUUUCGGGGCUGCCGCUUCUGGAUGGGCUCGCGGCCUAUCAGCUGGAUGGUGGGGUAACGGCCUACCAUGGCGACGACGGGUAGCUGGUCUGAGAGGAUGGUCAGCCACACUGGAACUGAGACACGGUCCAGACACCUACGGGUGGCAGCAGUCGAGAAUCAUUCGCAAUGGGGGAAACCCUGACGGUGCGACGCCGCGUGGAGGAUGAAGGUCUUCGGAUUGUAAACUCCUGUCAUCGGUGAGUAAGGCGCGGGAGGUGAACAGCCUUUCGUGUUGAUAGUAGCCGAAGAGGAAGGGACGGCUAACUUCGUGCCAGCAGCCGCGGUAAUACGAAGGUCCCAAGCGUUGUUCGGAAUCACUGGGCGUAAAGGGUGCGUAGGCGGCGCGGUAAGUCAGAUGUGAAAGCCUGGGGCUCAACCCCGGAAUGGCAUCCGAUACUGCCGUGCUGGAAUAGUGGAGGGGGAUCUGGAAUUCACGGUGUAGCAGUGAAAUGCGUAGAUAUCGUGAGGAAAGCUCGUGGCGAAAGCGAAAUCUUGGAACUUACUGACGCUGAGGCCCAAGGCCAGGGAACG